CUUAUUGUAAUGUAAUUAUAAAAUUGUAACAUGUUGUAAUUUAUAGUUAAGCUUGUGUAAGCCCUCUGUACAAUCAUACAUUUUCAAUCAACUUUGCUGGAUUGUCCUUUUUUCUCCACAAAGACCUUGAGCAUGCAAAAACAUUCAUCAUGGACGAAUGACUCCCAAGCAGACUCAAGGCACGCCACCCCUACAACAUGGCAGCACAAGAGAUGCUCAAUUCCAUCCCUGAAGACAUCUCCAGAGAUGCCUGGCUGGCAGCAGCUUGGAAGCAGGAGUGGGAGGCAGCUGGCCCCUCCCUCAUGCACAGUUAUGUCUGGGAACCAGGAGACGGCGCCAUAGGAGGAGACGAACUACCUCGCCAGCAGUGGACCACACUGAACCGCUUAAGAACUGGUGUUGGGCGCUUCAACAUGUCUAGUGGGGUCUGGCGGACAGUGCGGCAUGCGAGUGCGGAGCCCUCGAGCAGACAGCCGACCACACCAUCAACACCUACACCAACAUAUAGACCACCCUCAGAGGCCGGCCUCUUCGACCUGGGACCAGAGAUGCUGGCGUGGCUCCACGACACCAAGUUGGAGCGCUGACGUUACACGAGAGAGAGAGAGAGAGAGAGAGAGAGAGAGAGAGAGAGAGAGAGAGAGAGAGAGAGAGAGAGAGAGAGAGAGAGAGAGAGAGAGACUCCCAAACCAGGGUGGCAAGAAGCAGGACUUCUCAUUCCUCUUUUUCUAUGUUGCGUGUGGCUCCACAUGCUCCAUUUGUAUAGACCAUUUGUUUGGCCACCUUGGUACUCAGCCUUGAUGAGACCUGGCCUGUCUCGCCAAAAAAAUGACCGACAUUUUAAGAAGAUCCAUGGGACCAGUGUUAUUCUCCUUUUCUAUUGACUCCAAGCAACAGCACAGGGAGAGCCAAGACUUUCCAAAAGACCUGUACAACGGAGGCCAGCAUCAUGAAACACAAACUCCCAAACCAGCACGGUAACAUGAAACACAAACUCCCAAACCAGCAUGGUAACACACAGGACUUCUUCUGAUUCUUCUUAUGUUCUUGGGUCUUGCCUGUGGUUCUACACGCAUCCAGAAAUGCAGACAAAGAACAGCUUGGCCUUUAACAGUCGGAAGCCUCUGAUUUUACUCUACUAAGCCUCAGAUACAGUCUGUUUUCUGUUCUCAUUCAGUCAUUCAUUCAUUCAUUCA
This is a long non-coding RNA of Syngnathus typhle (broad-nosed pipefish), 1196 nucleotides long. RefSeq lists it as uncharacterized. Lineage: Eukaryota; Metazoa; Chordata; Actinopteri; Syngnathiformes; Syngnathidae. The transcript has 4 exons. The record is from RefSeq and is a predicted model, not a curated record.